GAUGAAGAACGCAGCGAAAUGCGAUAAGUAGUGUGAAUUGCAGAAUUCAGUGAAUCAUCGAAUCUUUGAACGCACAUUGCGCCCCUUGGUAUUCCAUGGGGCAUGCCUGUUCGAGCGUCAUUUGUACCUUCAAGCUCUGCUUGGUGUUGGGUGUUUGUCUCGCCUCUGUGUGUGAACUCGCCUCAAAACAAUUGGCAGCCGGCGUACUUGUUUCGGAGCGCAGCACAUUUUGCGAUCCAGAUCAACGUACAGCGGCAUCCAAGAAGCCUUAUUUAACGCUCUUGACCUCGGAUCAGGUAGGGAUACCCGCUGAACUUAAGCAUAUCAAUAAGCGGAGGA
Molecule: unclassified non-coding RNA, 339 nt
Filed under: soil metagenome
Description: partial contains 5.8S ribosomal RNA, internal transcribed spacer 2, and large subunit ribosomal RNA
Rfam family: 5.8S ribosomal RNA (bases 1-120)
Source: RNAcentral